UGAUAAAGAACUCGAGCAGAAGAAAGAAGAGUUUGAUAGCUUGCAGACUAGUCUGAAAGAUGAAGCCCAAAAGAAUGCUGAGGGUGAAGCAGCUCUUCUCACGAUAACUAAUCUAUAUUCUAGUUCUCAGGAAGAAGUUAACAGGUUAGCCCUUGAGAUUAACAAGCUGAACAGAAAGUUGAAUGAAGUGGAAAAUGUGUCUUCCGAUCUCAAGAACACCAUCUUGCUGCUGAAUACUGAAAAGGACACAGCUCUUCUUAAGCAAGAGCAGUUCUUGGUGAGAGUAUCUGAUCUGGAGUCUAAACUCUCUGAAGUGCAGGCUGAACUAGAGAAUUCUGAACAAAAAGGGCAAGUGCUUGAUGAUGAACUCGAGCAGAAGAAAGAAGAGGUCUAUGGCUUGCAGACUAGUCUGAAAGAUGAAGCCCGAAAGAAUGCUGAGGGGGAAGCAGCUGUUCUCACGAUAACUAAUCUAUAUUCUAAUUCUCAGGAAGAAGUGAACAGGUUAGCCAUUGAGAUUAACAAGCUGAACAGAAAGUUGAAUGAAGUGGAAAGUGUGUCUUCCGAGCUCAAGAACACCAUCUUGCUGCUGAAUACCGAAAAGGACACAGCUCUUCUUCAGCACAAGCAGUCCUUGGUGAGAGUAUCUGAUCUGGAAUCUAAACUCUCUGAAGUUCAGGCUGAACUAGAGAGUUCUGAACAAAAAGGGCAAAUGCUUGAAAAAGAACUCGAGCAGAAGAAAGAAGAGGUCGAUAGCUUGCAGACUAGUCUGAAAGAUGAAGCCCGAAAGAAUGCUGAGGGUGAAGAAGCUCUUCUCACGAUAACUAAUCUAUAUUCUAAUUCUCAGGAAGAAGUGAACAGGUUAGCCGAUGAGAUGAACAAGCUGAACAGAAAGUUGAAUGAAGUGGAAAGCGUGUCUUCCGAGCUCAAGAACACCAUCUUGGUGCUGAAUACCGAAAAGGACACAGCUCUUCUUCAGCACAAGCAGUCCUUGGUG
RNAcentral lists this long non-coding RNA (994 nucleotides) under Hordeum vulgare. Its description in RNAcentral is "long non-coding RNA (HVUL_LNC010952)". The record is from RNAcentral. Lineage: Eukaryota; Viridiplantae; Streptophyta; Magnoliopsida; Poales; Poaceae.